AUUGAACGCUGGCGGCAUGCCUUACACAUGCAAGUCGAACGGCAGCGGGGACUUCGGUCCGCCGGCGAGUGGCGAACGGGUGAGUAAUGUAUCGGAACGUACCAUUGAGUGGGGGAUAACGUAGCGAAAGUUACGCUAAUACCGCAUACGAUCUAUGGAUGAAAGCGGGGGAUCGCAAGACCUCGCGCGAUUGGAGCGGCCGAUAUCAGAUUAGGUAGUUGGUGGGGUAAAGGCUCACCAAGCCGACGAUCUGUAGCUGGUCUGAGAGGACGACCAGCCACACUGGGACUGGGACACGGCCCAGACUCCUACGGGAGGCAGCAGUGGGGAAUUUUGGACAAUGGGCGAAAGCCUGAUCCAGCCAUGCCGCGUGCAGGAUGAAGGCCUUCGGGUUGUAAACUGCUUUUGUACGGAACGAAAAGGUUUGGCCUAAUAAGCUGAGCUCAUGACGGUACCGUAAGAAUAAGCACCGGCUAACUACGUGUCAGCAGCCGCGGUAA
RNAcentral lists this ribosomal RNA (500 nucleotides) under uncultured bacterium. RNAcentral's name for it is "partial 16S ribosomal RNA". It matches the Rfam family "Bacterial small subunit ribosomal RNA", at positions 30 to 523 of the family's 1533-position model. The record is from RNAcentral.